GACGAACGCUGGCGGCGUGCUUAACACAUGCGAGUCGAACGGAAAGGCCCUGCUUUUGUGGGGUGCUCGAGUGGCGAACGGGUGAGUAACACGUGAGUAACCUGCCCUUGACUUUGGGAUAACUUCAGGAAACUGGGGCUAAUACCGGAUAGGAGCUCCUGCUGCAUGGUGGGGGUUGGAAAGUUUCGGCGGUUGGGGAUGGACUCGCGGCUUAUCAGCUUGUUGGUGGGGUAGUGGCUUACCAAGGCUUUGACGGGUAGCCGGCCUGAGAGGGUGACCGGCCACAUUGGGACUGAGAUACGGCCCAGACUCCUACGGGAGGCAGCAGUGGGGAAUAUUGCACAAUGGGCGGAAGCCUGAUGCAGCAACGCCGCGUGCGGGAUGACGGCCUUCGGGUUGUAAACCGCUUUCGCCUGUGACGAAGCGUGAGUGACGGUGAUGGGUAAAGAAGCACCGGCUAACUACGUG
Molecule: ribosomal RNA, 468 nt
Filed under: uncultured bacterium
Lineage: Bacteria
Description: partial 16S ribosomal RNA
Rfam family: Bacterial small subunit ribosomal RNA
Source: RNAcentral